GAUGAACGCUGGCGGCGUGCCUAAUACAUGCAAGUCGAGCGAACAGACGAGGAGCUUGCUCCUCUGAUGUUAGCGGCGGACGGGUGAGUAACACGUGGAUAACCUACCUAUAAGACUGGGAUAACUUCGGGAAACCGGAGCUAAUACCGGAUAACAUGUUGAACCGCAUGGUUCAACAGUGAAAGACGGUCUUGCUGUCACUUAUAGAUGGAUCCGCGCCGCAUUAGCUAGUUGGUAAGGUAACGGCUUACCAAGGCAACGAUGCGUAGCCGACCUGAGAGGGUGAUCGGCCACACUGGAACUGAGACACGGUCCAGACUCCUACGGGAGGCAGCAGUAGGGAAUCGUCCGAAAUGGGCGAAAGCCUGACGGAGCAACGCCGCGUGAGUGAAGAAGGUCUUCGGAUCGUAAAACGCUGUUAUUAGGGAAGAACAAAUGUGUAAGUAACUAUGCACGUCUUGACGGUACCUAAUCAGAAAGCCACGGCUAACUACGU
This 496-nucleotide ribosomal RNA is filed under the name uncultured bacterium. RNAcentral describes it as "partial 16S ribosomal RNA". It matches the Rfam family "Bacterial small subunit ribosomal RNA", at positions 28 to 506 of the family's 1533-position model. The record is from RNAcentral.